This 468-nucleotide ribosomal RNA is filed under the name uncultured bacterium. RNAcentral's name for it is "partial 16S ribosomal RNA". It matches the Rfam family "Bacterial small subunit ribosomal RNA", at positions 28 to 507 of the family's 1533-position model. The record is from RNAcentral.
GACGAACGCUGGCGGCGUGCUUAACACAUGCAAGUCGAACGGAAAGGCCCUGCUUUUGUGGCGUGCUCGAGUGGCGCACGGGUGAGUAACACGUGAGUAACCUGCCCUUGACUUUGGGCUACCUUCAGGACCCUGGGGCUAAUACCGGAUAGGAGCUCCUGCUGCUGGGUGGGGGUUGGCAAGUUUCGGCGGGUGGGGAUGGACUGGAGGCUUAUGAGCUUGUUGGUGGGGGCGUGGCCUACCAGGGCUUUGACGGGUAGCCGGCCUGCGCGGGUGACCGGCCACAAUGGGACUGAGAAGAGGCGCAGACGCCUACGGGAGGAAGCAGUGGGGAAGAUUGCACAACGGGCGGAAGACGCAUGAAGCAACGCCGCGUGCGGGAUGACGGCCUUCGGGUGGUAAACCGCUUUCGCCUGUGACGAAGCGUGAGUGACGGUAAUGGGUAAAGAAGCACCGGCUAACUACGUG